Molecule: ribosomal RNA, 1372 nt
Filed under: uncultured bacterium
Lineage: Bacteria
Description: bacterial SSU rRNA
Rfam family: Bacterial small subunit ribosomal RNA
Source: RNAcentral
GAUGAACGCUGGCGGCGUGCCUAAUACAUGCAAGUCGAGCGAACGGACGAGAAGCUUGCUUCUCUGAUGUUAGCGGCGGACGGGUGAGUAACACGUGGAUAACCUACCUAUAAGACUGGGAUAACUUCGGGAAACCGGAGCUAAUACCGGAUAAUAUUUUGAACCGCAUGGCUCACAAGUGAAAGACGGUCUUGCUGUCACUUAUAGAUGGAUCCGCGCUGCAUUAGCUAGUUGGUAAGGUAACGGCUUACCAAGGCAACGAUGCAUACCCGACCUGAAAGGGUGAUCGGCCACACUGGAACUGAUACACGGUCCAGACUCCUACGGGAGGCAGCAGUAGGGAAUCUUCCGCAAUGGGCGAAAGCCUGACGGAGCAACGCCGCGUGAGUGAUGAAGGUCCUCAGAUCGUAAAACUCUGUUAUUAGGGAAGAACAUAUGUGUAAGUAACUGUGCACAGUCUUGACGGCACCUAAUCACAAAGCCACGGCUAACUACGUGCCACCAGCCGCGGUAAUACCUAAGUGGCAAGCGUUAUCCGGAAUUAUUGCGCGUAAAGCGCGCGCACGCGGUUUUUUAGUCUGAUGUGAAAGCCCACGGCUCACCCGUGGAGGGUCAUUGGAAACUGGAAAACUUGAGUGCAGAAGAGGAAAGUGGAAUUCCAUGUGUAGCGGUGAAAUGCGCAGAGAUAUGGAGGAACACCAGUGGCGAAGGCGACUUUCUGGUCUGUAACUGACGCUGAUGUGCGAAAGCGUGGGGAUCAAACAGGAUUAGAUACCCUGGUAGUCCACGCCGUAAACGAUGAGUGCUAAGUGUUAGGGGGUUUCCGCCCCUUAGUGCUGCAGCUAACGCAUUAAGCACUCCGCCUGGGGAGUACGACCGCAAGGUUGAAACUCAAAGGAAUUGACGGGGACCCGCACAAGCGGUGGAGCAUGUGGUUUAAUUCGAAGCAACGCGAAGAACCUUACCAAAUCUUGACAUCCUUUGACAACUCUAGAGAUAGAGCCUUCCCCUUCGGGGGACAAAGUGACAGGUGGUGCAUGGUUGUCGUCAGCUCGUGUCGUGAGAUGUUGGGUUAAGUCCCGCAACGAGCGCAACCCUUAAGCUUAGUUGCCAUCAUUAAGUUGGGCACUCUAAGUUGACUGCCGGUGACAAACCGGGGGAAGGUGGGGAUGACGUCAAAUCAUCAUGCCCCUUAUGAUUUGGGCUACACACGUGCUACAAUGGACAAUACAAAGGGCAGCGAAACCGCGAGGUCAAGCAAAUCCCAUAAAGUUGUUCUCAGUUCGGAUUGUAGUCUGCAACUCGACUACAUGAAGCUGGAAUCGCUAGUAAUCGUAGAUCAGCAUGCUACGGUGAAUACGUUCCCGGGUCU